UACGUAGGGCGCAAGCGUUGUCCGGAAUUAUUGGGCGUAAAGAGCUCGUAGGCGGCCAGUUGCGUCUGCUGUGAAAUCCCGGGGCUCAACCCCGGGCUUGCAGUGGAUACGGGCUGGCUGGAGGCAGGCAGGGGAGAACGGAAUUCCCGGUGUAGCGGUGAAAUGCGCAGAUAUCGGGAGGAACACCGGUGGCGAAGGCGGUUCUCUGGGCCUGUACUGACGCUGAGGAGCGAAAGCGUGGGGAGCAAACAGG
RNAcentral lists this ribosomal RNA (253 nucleotides) under uncultured bacterium. RNAcentral describes it as "partial 16S ribosomal RNA". It matches the Rfam family "Bacterial small subunit ribosomal RNA", at positions 524 to 776 of the family's 1533-position model. The record is from RNAcentral.